CACAAGACCAGUAUUUCUAGACGAGUUUAAGGUCAAGUAGUGACGAGAAUAACAAUUUACUGAGCAGUUUCGAUUGCAUUAAGUCUAGUUCGUAUCCAGUUCACGACUUAUAUAUUUAUUUUAGUUUGUGAAAUGAAUAAACAAAGUUGACCAUGAAUUUUUUGUAGUGGUUUUGUGCUGCGUAUUUAUUUCAAUCAUUUUUUUUAUAUUAUUAUUAUAGAACGCGACCAUUCGGCGCGACCAUGAAGGUGUAUAGAAUUUAUAAAAUAUGUUUUCGGAAUUGUAAAAUAAAACAAGCAUA
Nymphalis io (European peacock) is the source of this 301-nucleotide long non-coding RNA. RefSeq lists it as uncharacterized. The record is from RefSeq and is a predicted model, not a curated record. The transcript has 2 exons. Lineage: Eukaryota; Metazoa; Arthropoda; Insecta; Lepidoptera; Nymphalidae.